This is a non-coding RNA of Delphinapterus leucas (beluga whale), 693 nucleotides long. The record is from RefSeq and is a predicted model, not a curated record. Lineage: Eukaryota; Metazoa; Chordata; Mammalia; Artiodactyla; Monodontidae.
GAUUACAUUUUUGAGCUGUUUUGCAGAAUUUAAACCCCCUCAGGUGCUCAACCACUAGAUCAAUUGGAACCAAAGGGAUGACGAUGUUGACCUUUUCUGACCCUCCUGACUCCAGUCAACUAAAGCGUGGACUCUGUUGACCUUUGCCUGAAUUCUAUGCUCAAUCCUUCUCAGCUCAAGCUCCUUCAUGAACAUGCAGGAUCUAGAUCUAUUCCAAACUUGUGGAAUUAAUUAGAUAAUUAAGAGGAACCUCAGAACUACGAGGAAUGAUCAAAGAAGGCAUCUGACACAUCCUACAAAGAAAAGGAGGAUUCCCAAAGAUAUGAAAGAAAAAAAGGCGUGAAGUGGAUGGGCUGCUACACUGCCGAGAUCCCCACUUCAGGACUUAAUUCACCCGCUUGCUGGGAGUGAAAUGAGCUGACAGACCUCACAUCAGUGUCUCUCCGGAGAUCACCUCAUCUGAAGAGAGCUGCCCUACCGAAGACCAUACGCCCUUCCCUCCAAGGACUGGUUACAACGGGGGAAUGAAAGCCCCAACAUUGGACGACCUAGAAGAGCCAUCUCAGCUUCAGAGCAUCCUGGAGGGUUGAUUGGGGACUUCUUAAAACGGCAUCCUUCCCUUCUUGUAAGUAUUGGUUCCGACACCAUUCCUUAACAAACCUCUCAAAUGCUCAUCUCCACCCAGAGUCUGCG